GACGAACGCUGGCGGCGUGCCUAAUACAUGCCAGUAGAAUGCACAGUUUAUACCGUAGCUUGCUACACCAUAGACUGUGAGUUGCGAACGGGUGAGUAACGCGUAGGUAACCUGCCUGGUAGCGGGGGAUAACUAUUGGAAACGAUAGCUAAUACCGCAUAAUAUUAAUUAUUGCAUGAUAAUUAAUUGAAAGGUGCAAUUGCACCACUACCAGAUGGACCUGCGUUGUAUUAGCUAGUAGGUGAGGUAACGGCUCACCUAGGCGACGAUACAUAGCCGACCUGAGAGGGUGAUCGGCCACACUGGGACUGAGACACGGCCCAGACUCCUACGGGAGGCAGCAGUAGGGAAUCUUCGGCAAUGGACGAAAGUCUGACCGAGCAACGCCGCGUGAGUGAAGAAGGUUUUCGGAUCGUAAAGCUCUGUUGUAAGAGAAGAACGGGGGUGAGAGUGGAAAGUUCACACUGUGACGGUAUCUUACCAGAAAGGGACGGCUAACUACGUG
Molecule: ribosomal RNA, 505 nt
Filed under: uncultured bacterium
Lineage: Bacteria
Description: partial 16S ribosomal RNA
Rfam family: Bacterial small subunit ribosomal RNA
Source: RNAcentral